GAGCAUGUUCCCAAGGUCGGUGGCUAGAGUGGCCAUCUGAUCUCCAAGUGCGUGCAAGAGCAAUGUGGAGAGACUGGGGCAGCUCAGGCCAGCAAAGUAUCUGCAGCUGCCACUUGCCUUUCCUACAAAA
Molecule: small nucleolar RNA, 130 nt
Organism: Echinops telfairi (small Madagascar hedgehog)
Lineage: Eukaryota; Metazoa; Chordata; Mammalia; Afrosoricida; Tenrecidae
Source: Ensembl